UUCAGUUCACGCUGUGAGGCCUGCUGACAUUAAAAUAAUCGCUGCUCUUGGGGACUCGCUCACAACUGCAAUAGGUGCUAACGCUUCAACUGUACUUGGAAUUCCAUAUGAAUAUCGCCACUUAUCUUGGAGCAUUGGAGGAUACGGGACAUAUAAGGAUGUGAUCACACUUGCCAAUAUUUUUAAACUCUUUAAUCCAAAUGUCAUUGGUCCAGCUCCUUCCAGAACACUCAACGGGAAACCUGCUCCUCUAAGUGAAACUGGUUUCAAUCUAGCUGUUACUGGGGCAAAUACAUAUGAGUUUCCCGAUCAGACAAGGCACCUUAUUAACACACUCAAAGCAUAUCCUG
Molecule: long non-coding RNA, 350 nt
Organism: Polypterus senegalus (gray bichir)
Lineage: Eukaryota; Metazoa; Chordata; Cladistia; Polypteriformes; Polypteridae
Exons: 5
Source: RefSeq, a predicted model, not a curated record